CAUCUAAGCGUUACGUAAUUUGUGGACGCUCCCUAUGAAUCAGUAGCAGUUGAACGAGUCGGCCAAAGCGUGGCCGUAGACUGCGGAAUUGAUCCCGCACUGCUAUGGUUAUGAAGACAGAUUUACACAUAACAAAAGACUAAAUUCUUCGGACAUCCAGAAGCUGUAAAAGCCAAUGGAUAAGCUGUUCGAAUUAUAUCAGCAACAUCAUCAAUGUAAAUUAAUCAGCUCCUAUUUGUCAUCCACGUUGGAGGAAAGGUGCCAUUCGGAUCCGGAUUUAAGUCACCUAUAUAUCUGCUGUUUUCGGCGCCAACAAGCGAUGGCACACAUAUAACCGCGCCAGCAUUGAGCGAAGAUGGCUUACGAGGAAAAUCAUAGCUUCAAAUGUUAAUGUAACCGGAUUGCAAUUAUAAUGGACCACUUUUCUGUCGUUCGUAGCAGGGCCGAGUACGGAACCGUUUUGUAGGCUAAUGCCUUGUUAAGUUAUAGUUCUCUUGGGCCAUCGAUUGAUCAUUGAUCAAUAGCAGAAGUAUGCUACUUAUUCAUCGAACUCAUCUAGUCUUCAUAAAUCUAAAGAAAAAGGAUUAUUCGCAUGAAAUAAAAUAUAAAAUAUAUUUAAAAUGUUUCUUAAUGUUAUGUAAACAUCCGAAAAUAAAAAAAGAAUGAAGAGUAGAAAGAUCAAGGUACCCAUAUCU
Armigeres subalbatus is the source of this 695-nucleotide long non-coding RNA. RefSeq lists it as uncharacterized. The transcript has 3 exons. NCBI's taxonomy places the organism in Eukaryota, Metazoa, Arthropoda, Insecta, Diptera, Culicidae. The record is from RefSeq and is a predicted model, not a curated record.